GGGGGCGUUAUUAGAAUCGCUCGGGGGAGCAAUGGCAAUAGCCGCGUGCCGAGAUUCCCGUCAGAUCCUCGUUAAAAAGGACGGAAUCAGUUAAUAACUGGCAAAAACGAUUACGCUUUAGCAGCCUAAGUGCUGCUACAUCCUGCCUUCUGUGCCUGCGGUGAAGGGUCAGGGUGUCAUAUGAGCAGGCUGCUCGAAUCGGCCACCGUCUGAGGCUGACAGAGGAGAUUAACCAGACUGGCAUCCGAGGAAUCGUGCUUUCAGGAGUCCGAGGAAGCGAGAACAAAAAUGAGAGCUACGCACGUAGAAGUUGUUGUAGUUGCCUUUCGAUACAGGGGUGCAAUUCCCCUCGCCUCCACCA
RNAcentral lists this transfer-messenger RNA (361 nucleotides) under Syntrophobotulus glycolicus. Its description in RNAcentral is "Standard tmRNA". It matches the Rfam family "transfer-messenger RNA". From Rfam's summary of the family: Bacterial tmRNA, also known as 10Sa RNA or SsrA, is named for its dual tRNA and mRNA-like properties. Its role is to liberate the mRNA from a stalled ribosome. Lineage: Bacteria; Bacillati; Bacillota; Clostridia; Eubacteriales; Desulfitobacteriaceae. The record is from RNAcentral. RNAcentral also lists the same sequence under 1 other name.